GUAAGUCAGUGGUGAAAGUCUGCAGCUUAAAGGGGAACUGCCAUUGAUACUGCACACCUUGAGUAAUUAUGAAGUGGUUAGAAUAUGUAGUGUAGCGGUGAAAUGCAUAGAUAUUACAUAGAAUACCGAUUGCGAAGGCAGAUCACUAAUAAUUUACUGACGCUGAUGGACGAAAGCGUAGGUAGCGAACAGGAUUAGAUACCCUGGUAGUCUACGCCGUAAACGAUGGUUACUAGCUGUUUGGUCUAAUUGAGGACUGAGUGGCUAAGCGAAAGUGAUAAGUAACCCACCUGGGGAGUACGUUCGCAAGAAUGAAACUCAAAGGAAUUGACGGGGGCCCGCACAAGCGGUGGAGCAUGUGGUUUAAUUCGAUGAUACGCGAGGAAC
This 387-nucleotide ribosomal RNA is filed under the name Bacteroidetes bacterium AH8. Its description in RNAcentral is "bacterial SSU rRNA". It matches the Rfam family "Bacterial small subunit ribosomal RNA", at positions 583 to 969 of the family's 1533-position model. The record is from RNAcentral. Lineage: Bacteria; Pseudomonadati; Bacteroidota.